AAGUCGUAACAAGGUUUCCGUAGGUGAACCUGCGGAAGGAUCAUUAUUGAAUGAACUUGAUUUGGUUGCUGCUGGUCUUUUCGAAGGCAUGUGCACACCUUGUCAUCUUUAUAUCUCCACCUGUGCACCUUUUGUAGACCUGGAUUCAACAUUCCGAGGCAACUCGGUCGUGAGGAAUUGCUUCACAGCUUUCCUUGUAAGUUUCCAGGCCUAUGUUUUUCAUAUACACCAUAAGAAUGUAACAGAAUGUCAUUAUUAGACUUCAUUGUCUUAUAAACUAUAUACAACUUUCAGCAACGGAUCUCUUGGCUCUCGCAUCGAUGAAGAACGCAGCGAAAUGCGAUAAGUAAUGUGAAUUGCAGAAUUCAGUGAAUCAUCGAAUCUUUGAACGCACCUUGCGCUCCUUGGUAUUCCGAGGAGCAUGCCUGUUUGAGUGUCAUUAAAUUCUCAACCUUUGUCAACUUUUUUGGGUGGGCAAUGGCUUGGAUGUGGGGGUUUUGCAGGNUUCUCUUUUGAAAUCAGCUCCCUGAAUACAUAGCUGGUUGCCUUGUGUGAACCUGUCUAUGGUGUGAUAAUAUCUACGCCGUGGACUAUUCGCCGUUUUUAGCACUGCUUAUAACCGUCUGUUCAUUCGGACA
RNAcentral lists this ribosomal RNA (638 nucleotides) under Hypholoma myosotis. RNAcentral's name for it is "eukaryotic LSU rRNA". The stretch from base 286 to 439 matches the Rfam family "5.8S ribosomal RNA". Lineage: Eukaryota; Fungi; Basidiomycota; Agaricomycetes; Agaricales; Strophariaceae. The record is from RNAcentral.